This 405-nucleotide non-coding RNA is filed under the name Pongo abelii (Sumatran orangutan). Lineage: Eukaryota; Metazoa; Chordata; Mammalia; Primates; Hominidae. The record is from RNAcentral.
CUGACCAUCAUGACCUCAUGGUUUUGGGUGUGCACCUGGCUUGCAGCAGAACUGGCUGGGAUGGCUUCAUAACUUCCCUUCCAACAAUAUAACAAUAUGCUUCUGUAAAUUUUCACACUGAAUUGGACAAGAAUCAGAAUAUCCUGUUUUGAACAUCUGCACAGAUUGACAAGUGUCAAGACUGAGGAUCAGAGAAAUUAAAUAACAUGCCAAAGGUCACAGUGUCUAGUGGAGCUGGGGUCAAAUUCAGAUUAACAAAACACAUGAAAAACCCUCAACUUCUUUCAUUUGGCUGUUGAGAUAAAGGGAAAGAGAGAGUCCCCGUCCAGGCCUGCAGGAGAGGGAGAGCUGGUGGAUGUAAAUGAAAAAGCAGAGGCAUUCCUCAGGGUCUUGCUCUGUCACCCA